This 253-nucleotide ribosomal RNA is filed under the name uncultured bacterium. RNAcentral's name for it is "partial 16S ribosomal RNA". It matches the Rfam family "Bacterial small subunit ribosomal RNA", at positions 524 to 776 of the family's 1533-position model. The record is from RNAcentral.
UACGGAGGGGGCUAGCGUUGUUCGGAAUUACUGGGCGUAAAGCGCACGUAGGCGGCUUUGUAAGUUAGAGGUGAAAGCCCAGGGCUCAACCCUGGAAUUGCCUUUAAGACUGCAUCGCUUGAACAUCGGAGAGGUAAGUGGAAUUCCGAGUGUAGAGGUGAAAUUCGUAGAUAUUCGGAAGAACACCAGUGACGAAGGCGACUUACUGGACGAUUGUUGACGCUGAGGUGCGAAAGCGUGGGGAGCAAACAGG